RNAcentral lists this long non-coding RNA (730 nucleotides) under Homo sapiens (human). RNAcentral's name for it is "HSALNT0053267". Lineage: Eukaryota; Metazoa; Chordata; Mammalia; Primates; Hominidae. The record is from RNAcentral.
CCGCAAUUCCCGUCACGGAGUGCGUCCUCUAGCGCGGGGCGGAAGACCCGCGAAGUGUUCAAGCGGCCGCAGAGCGGCCCAGAGUUCGCAGGUCUGGGGCUCUCUUCCCAGAGAGCUCGUAGGGGAGGACAGUCAAGGGACUCAAGCGUCUCUCUUGACUCCCCUUCUCUCGCUGUGCAGUGGCGGCGCCGAGGGGUCGACGCUCAGGGCUAAUCUCUAUGAGUCACCCUCGAGGCCCCGGGUAAUAUUGGGUGGAUCACAAGAACUAAUCUUUCAUGAUUUGGAAACCGGAAGGAAAGAAGCACUUUUGUAGCUGACUUACCUCAAUGACAUGACCAGUGUCUGAGCCUACAACUGCGCUAUCUUCCCUGGAUUUUUCUUCACCUUUUCCUUACUCAUGAGCCAGAUGGAGCUAAGAUUGGAACUGAGGUCUGGCUAUAAAGCUGCCUUUAUGUCCAUCGCAUCCUAAGGGCUGCUGUUGCUCUUCUGCCUCUACACUGAUGGACUACGUCAGAACAUCAAUAUGCUGUAUUGAUGAUAAUGGAUGAUAUUUUCUUAGUUGUGCCAAUAUUACUCUUGAGGGAAGAAAUGAUGCCAAGUCCUGUUCUUGCCAGUGAGACGCCUGCUCCAGCUUUGCCUUCCACCAUGAGUAAAGGCUCCCUAAGGCCUCCCAAGAAACAGAUGCCACCAUGCUUCCUGUACAGCCUGCAGAACCAUGAGCCAAUUAAAC